This 772-nucleotide long non-coding RNA is filed under the name Paramuricea clavata. Lineage: Eukaryota; Metazoa; Cnidaria; Anthozoa; Malacalcyonacea; Plexauridae. The record is from RNAcentral.
GAACAAUACGAGAACGCUACGAAAACGGUACAGUGUAAACGCUGCCUAAGUAGACGCAUAUACAGGGUGUCUCAAAAAAACCGCUACCCUUAGAAAUUCACCAUUGUUCUAAUUUGAAUGCCUGAACCUUGUUGAAGCCCUAAAUGUGUAAACAUUUUCACAGGAUGCAUAUAUUAAAGAUCUUCGGGAUUAAAAUAUCCUUGAAAAGCGAAAUUUUUUAUCCUGGGAAUUGAAAAUAGUUCAUACAAAAGUAUAACUGCACGAAAAUCGUUCAAUUACAUAUUAGUGAAUGUCAAGGAAAUGGCUCGACUGAGCACAGAGCAAAGAGUAUUUAUUGUCUUGAACUACCCAUGAGUUCAAGAUAGCACUCAGGCAUUCAAAUUAGAACAAUGGUGAAUUUCCAAGGGUAGCGGUUUUUUUGAGACACCCUGUACUGUCAUAUAGACUCCAUGCAAGCAAAUGGGUAAAAAACGAGAUAAACUUAGGAUACAACUGAACUGCAUUCAUAGCUCAAAUUUGGGGUGCCAAAACCAAUGUACUAUUGACAGCAAAUAAAACCACAGUUUGAAGUCGCCAGGAAAUUGUUGAAGGAUUUUAGUAGGUGGAAAUUUCGAGUGUAAAUUUUAUUGAAUUAGUAGAUCUAACGAGAAGUAGUUGCGAACAAUGCAUUGUUUGAACACUAUGACUAUGUCUAUGUUCGAUUGGGUUUGAACGUACUUGGUUUAAAAUUUUCGUUCAACAUUGACAUUGUUGUUAAUGAAUUCGUUUGAAG